GCCUGAAGUCCAAAGUGGGUCCUCCAGGGCUGACAUCAAGGCACUGACACAGCCAAGUUUUGGUGGAGGCUCUAAAGCAAAACCCAUUUCCUUGACGUGUUCACUGGCACGCACUGGCUCAUGGCUCCUUCCAUCUUCAAAUAUGGCAGCCCCUUCUAGUCUCUCUCUGACUCUGACAACUGCUCCUUUGUUCAGUCUCUUUCUCUGUCACCCUCUGUCUCCGUCUUAUCAGGACCCAUAUGAUUAUAUCACGCCUGCUCAGAAAAUCCAGGAUAAUCUCUUCAUCUCAAGAUCCUUAACCACACCAGAUAAAUCGACAAAGAAAAUGUUGUGUACACAUAUAAGUGAAUAUUACCCAGCCUUGAAAAAGAAGAAAAUCUUGCCCUGUGUGAUAACCAGGAUGAACCUUGUGGAUAUUAUGCUAAAUGAAAUAAGCCAGUCACAGAAGGACAAACAUUGUAUGACUGCACUUAUGUGAGAUCAACUCAUCUGCAAAGAUAAAGAACAUCUGCAAAGAUCAUUUCAGCCUUUCUUUAUGGCAAUGGGAAAACCCAGAAACUUGUGAUCCGGAUAUAAGAAUUGAGUUCAUAAAGCAACCUAAACUGAAUUCCAAGGAGAGACAGGAGACAACCUUUGGCACAGCAUGGGAGGAAGAAGUGGCCUCCAUACAAGUAGGUUCACUGCUGCUAAAUGAUGUUUAUUGGUUCUCCAAGUUUGAGUCAAAGUCAUUCAUGUUUUCAAUAAAUGGGCAAGUUUCUGUAAAUAAAUACCACACCGAGGAAAACUGAAAUCAGUUUGGUCAUGCAUCAGGAAAACUAAAGGUGACAUUUUGGAGAAACUGAAACUGCUUUACAUUUCAUCUUGCUCUUUUUAUUGGCCAAGAGCUUUCAUGGCAUAUCUUCUUUAAUUUUAACACUGUUCCUCAAGUACUUGAGUAGUUUUACAACACACUGUACCAGAUGGAUGAAAGGCAAAGUUACGUGGUAAAUUUUGAUAAGUUUUCCAUCCUGGAAUAUAAUUCCUAUCAGGGAAAUCAGGCCCGUAGGUCAGCUACAAGCCCUUUAACAACUGAGUCUGAAUAAAUGUUAUCAGCAAUUCCAGAUAA
Molecule: long non-coding RNA, 1105 nt
Organism: Hyaena hyaena (striped hyena)
Lineage: Eukaryota; Metazoa; Chordata; Mammalia; Carnivora; Hyaenidae
Exons: 6
Source: RefSeq, a predicted model, not a curated record